GGCUCAGAACGAACGCUGGCGGCGUGCCUAACACAUGCAAGUCGAGCGAGAAAGCCCGCAAGGGUGAGUAAAGCGGCGCACGGGUGCGUAACACGUGGGUAAUCUUCCUUGGAGCCCGGAAUAACUCCCCGAAAGGGGUGCUAAUGCCGGAUGAGACCACGGGAUCCCCGGAUCCUGAGGGAAAAGGCGGCCUCUGUACACAAGCUGUCACUCCAAGAUGAGCCCGCGGCCCAUCAGCUAGUUGGCGGGGUAAUGGCCCACCAAGGCUACGACGGGUAGCUGGUCUGAGAGGACGAUCAGCCACACUGGAACUGAGACACGGUCCAGACUCCUACGGGAGGCAGCAGUGGGGAAUCUUGCGCAAUGGGCGAAAGCCUGACGCAGCAACGCCGCGUGUGUGAUGAAGGUCUUCGGAUCGUAAAGCACUGUCGGGAGGGACGAAUAAGGCGGCGGCUAACAUCCGCAGCCGAUGACGGUACCUCCAAAGGAAGCACCGGCUAACUCUGUGCCAGCAGCCGCGGUAAUACAGAGGGUGCUAGCGUUGUUCGGAAUUAUUGGGCGUAAAGCGCGUGUAGGCGGCCUUGCAAGUUGGGUGUGAAAGCCCUCGGCUUAACCGAGGAAGUGCGCCCAAAACUACAGGGCUUGAGUACCGGAGAGGGUGGCGGAAUUCCCGGUGUAGAGGUGAAAUUCGUAGAUAUCGGGAGGAACACCAGUGGCGAAGGCGGCCACCUGGACGGAUACUGACGCUGAGACGCGAAAGCGUGGGUAGCAAACAGGAUUAGAUACCCUGGUAGUCCACGCUGUAAACGAUGAGCGCUAGGUGUUGUGGGUGUUGACCCCCGCAGUGCCGCAGCUAACGCAUUAAGCGCUCCGCCUGGGAAGUACG
This 886-nucleotide ribosomal RNA is filed under the name uncultured bacterium. Its description in RNAcentral is "bacterial SSU rRNA". It matches the Rfam family "Bacterial small subunit ribosomal RNA", at positions 21 to 884 of the family's 1533-position model. The record is from RNAcentral.